Homo sapiens (human) is the source of this 667-nucleotide long non-coding RNA. The record is from Ensembl. Lineage: Eukaryota; Metazoa; Chordata; Mammalia; Primates; Hominidae.
CUGGGGGUGAGGGAGGGGGAGAGAAAGGGGCCUGCAGAAGGUGCACUGCCAGAGCAUUUGGGGCCUGUGGAGAGGGUGUGGCCAAAGGAGACAGAGGGGGUGAGGCAGGGGGAGAGGGAGGGGCCUGCAGAGGAGGCAAGGCCAGGGCAGGUGGGGCCUGUGGAGGGGGCGUGGCCAAAGGAGACAGAGGGGGAGAGGGCAGGCCCUGCAAAGGGGGUGAGGCCAGAGCAGGUGGGGCCUGUGGAGGAGGCGUGGCUAUGGAAGAGGGCGUCUCCGGAGGGGGCGUGGUCAAUGGCGAAGGUGGUGCUUGCAGAGGGCAUGGGGCUGGACAAGGUGGAGUCUCCAGAUGGGGUGUGGUCAGGGGAGCAGAAGCUGUCUGCAGAGGAGGCGGGGCUAGAGAAGGUAGGUUCUCCAGAGGGGGUGUGGUCAGGGAAGCAGGAGGUGUCUGCAGAGAGGGUGGGGCUAGGGAAGAUUGGGUCUCCAGAGGGGGCAUGAUCAGGGAAGAGAGAGGUGCCUGAGGAGAGUGGGAGGCCAGAGAAGAUAGCGCCUGCAGAGGGUGUAUGGUCAGGGGUGAGCUUAGGGGUGAGACAGCAGGAGAGAGAGAAGUCUGCAGAGGGGGUGAGGCAGGAAGGGAAAGAGGGGCCUGCAGAGGGGGUGAAUCAGGGGG